AGUGGGAUAACUGGGCCAAAUGGUGGUUCCAUUCGAAGUUUUCUGAGGAAUCUCCAUACUGCUUUCCAGAGUGGUUGCACCAAUUUGCAGUCCCAUCAGCAAU
This 103-nucleotide microRNA precursor is filed under the name Marmota monax (woodchuck). The record is from RNAcentral. Lineage: Eukaryota; Metazoa; Chordata; Mammalia; Rodentia; Sciuridae.